This is a long non-coding RNA of Syngnathoides biaculeatus (alligator pipefish), 1184 nucleotides long. RefSeq lists it as uncharacterized. Lineage: Eukaryota; Metazoa; Chordata; Actinopteri; Syngnathiformes; Syngnathidae. The transcript is spliced from 2 exons. The record is from RefSeq and is a predicted model, not a curated record.
AUUGUCGAAAACUUCGUUUUUUAGAGCCAUCAACUUCUUUAACUCAAACUACUGAAAUAACAGUACUGUAAUGUUAUAUUAUGCAACGGCAUGUUUGUGAAUUUAUUUAUUGAUUUAAGCAAUAACUGUGCCUUGAUGUUUUAUCUAUUGUUGUUGUUGUUGUUUUUUUUUUUUACCCAAGUUGUUCUUCAAUUUUUAUUGCAUUUAUUUCAGCUUGUGGAGAAGCACUCAUCAUUUCGUUGUAUGCACAGCAUAUAAUGACUUAACGGCUUUUGAUUGAUUUGCUUUAUAUUUGUAACAGUUGGCACUCAGAGCAGUGCAGUAUUUCAUUAUUUCAUUACAUAGGAAUACAAUUUUCUUAUUAACUAUAUAUUUAGCAGUGUUUCCAUUCAAAUAUAUUUUUCAAAUUAAAUUUCAUUUGCCUAUAUUUUGCUUUGUAAAUGUAUUCUAUUUUUAUCACACAAAAUCGAAAUCAGCAUACUUUUGACCACCUGAAUGCAGUCAGAGCAGGCGUCACUGGAAUGACGUCAUCUGUGGUAUAUAACAGGCCCGAGCCCCCUCUUUCAGUCAUCUCGUGGCCACCUGCUGCUUGUCUGAUUCUUCAGUAUCUCACUCAAGCAGUUGCCCAAGUCCACUUGCAGCAAGAUGAAGCUCUCUGUCGUCUUCUUCGGUGCGCUCCUUCUGCUCCUUGCACUUUCAACACCGAUUGUCUGUGGACAGAACACCACAGAUGGGCCUAUGAAUGGAACCUCGAUUCUAUCCACUGUGGGGCCAACCAUCACCAAGACCCCCGUUAAGAAUGCAUUCUCCAGGGUCAAAGGCCACCCCUUGCUGUUGCUGGCUUUCACCUUCGCCCCUUUGCUCCACAGUUGGUGGUGCUGAUGCUUUCGUUUGUGGCUCUACUCACUGGACAUUAAGCGUUCCAUGGCCUAAUUGGCACUUAAUCACUGGGUUUCUCAAAAGCUAACACUGGAGUGUUUUCACCAAGUAGUGGGAGUAUUGCACGGACUGGAUUUUCUACCAGGAACUAACUCACUAUGUGCCAUUCAAUAUUUGCUUUUUGACUUUAUGUCCAGAGAAUUUUUUUUUUUUUUUUAAAUUUUGUAAAGCUGAUGUUUUGAAGAAAAAAAUGCCUUUUUAGAUCUUAACUUUUUGUAAAUCCAAUAAAUGUUCAAGUGAUUCUG